RNAcentral lists this ribosomal RNA (796 nucleotides) under Chloroflexota bacterium. Its description in RNAcentral is "Chloroflexi bacterium (hot springs metagenome) partial 23S ribosomal RNA". It matches the Rfam family "Bacterial large subunit ribosomal RNA", at positions 2131 to 2925 of the family's 2925-position model. Lineage: Bacteria; Bacillati; Chloroflexota. The record is from RNAcentral.
AGCCUGUGUAGGAUAGGUGGGAGGCUGAGAAGUCUGGGCGCCAGCCUGGAUGGAGCCACCCUUGAAAUACCACCCUGGUUAAGUCUUGGCCCUAACCCCUGGCCGUGAAGCCGGCAGGGGGACAGUGCCAGGUGGGCAGUUUGGCUGGGGCGGCCGCCUCCUAAAAGGUAACGGAGGCGCCCAAAGGUCCCCUCAGGCGGAAUGGAAACCCGCCGUUGAGUGCAAAGGCAUAAGGGGGCUUGACUGCGAGGCUUACAAGCCGAGCAGGGGCGAAAGCCGGGCUUAGUGAUCCCACGGUACCGUGUGGAAGGGCCGUGGCUUAACGGAUAAAAGCUACCCCGGGGAUAACAGGCUAGUCUGGCCCAAGAGUUCACAUCGACGGCCAGGCUCGGCACCUCGAUGUCGGCUCGUCCCAUCCUGGGGCUGGAGUAGGUCCCAAGGGUUGGGCUGUUCGCCCAUUAAAGGGGCACGUGAGCUGGGUUCAGACCGUCGUGAGACAGGUCGGUCUCUAUCCGCUGCGGGCGCAGGGGGCUUGAGGGGAGCUGCCCCUAGUACGAGAGGACCGGGGUGGACGGACCUCUGGUGUACCAGUUGUUCCGCCAGGAGCACCGCUGGGUAGCCAUGUCCGGCAGGGAUAACCGCUGAAAGCAUCUAAGCGGGAAGCCCGCCCCAAGAUGAGGCCCCCCACCGGCUUAGCCGGGUAAGGCCCCUGGGAGACUACCAGGUUGAUAGGCCGCAGGUGGAAGCCCGGCAACGGGUGAAGCCGAGCGGUACUAAUGGCCGAGGGCUUGACUCU